UCUUUUUAUUUCACAACUCUCUCUCUCUUCUCUCAGACCCCAUUGCUCUCUAAAAUGAAAAAGAGCUCUCCUUCUUUCACAUUUUUCUCUCAUUUCCUUACUCCUCCUCACCCUUAGCCGCGCAACCACACACACUUUCCUCUGCAAAAAUCCGAACACAGCCUUACCACAGAGGUUCUCGAUCUGGAAGUUUAGCCAUGACAAAGAAAACGCAAACCAGCUACAACCUUGCAGAUCUGGUUCCUGCAAAAGAUCUGUGACAGACCCGAGAAAGAACUCUCAAACUGAAAAUCCACUGGACAUAAAGCAUGGCCCAUCAUGAAGGUUUUGAUCUUUCGACUAUGAAGGAAAUGUGGUCACUGAUAGAUCCGUGGGAAAUAAAGUGGACGGCGAGACCUCAGCUGCAAUAGACAAAAACGGGACAAGCUUCUAAGAACCCAGAUCGGUGAAUCUGGGAGGUAAAAUUUCAUAUCCUUGCAAGUGGAAUUGUUGUAGAUCUGGUAAUAAUAGCUGUACUCAGUUCUGUGGUGUAUGGAUCUGUGAUUUAAUUGUGCUUCCUCCAUGCAUCGCACAACUGAGCUGCAGAAAAUUAACUGCUCUAAACUCUGUUUCUGUGCUGGAUCUGCAACAAUCUCCCCCAAACUUGUAUCUGUGAAUGACUUGUUAACUGCUUUAAAUUUCCAGCAUAGUGUAGAUAUGGUUGAUGUGAACGUUAGACUUGCUGCUGGGUGCAGGAUUCCAGCAUAGGACGCGCUUUAUUUUCCACGUUCGCAACCUGCAAUUAACCAAUAUGUGUUAAAA
This is a non-coding RNA of Malus domestica (apple), 801 nucleotides long. The record is from RefSeq and is a predicted model, not a curated record. Lineage: Eukaryota; Viridiplantae; Streptophyta; Magnoliopsida; Rosales; Rosaceae.